This 85-nucleotide microRNA precursor is filed under the name Cicer arietinum (chickpea). Its description in RNAcentral is "mir-156 microRNA precursor family". It matches the Rfam family "mir-156 microRNA precursor family". From Rfam's summary of the family: This family represents the plant microRNA (miRNA) precursor mir-156. Animal miRNAs are transcribed as ~70nt precursors and subsequently processed by the Dicer enzyme to give a ~22nt product. The record is from Rfam by way of RNAcentral. Lineage: Eukaryota; Viridiplantae; Streptophyta; Magnoliopsida; Fabales; Fabaceae.
UUGACAGAAGAGAGUGAGCACAUACUGUUUGUUAUUGUAUCAUGGCAUACAAUUCUGGGUGCGUGCUCACUUCUCUUUCUGUCAU